Non-coding RNA from Onthophagus taurus, 2910 nucleotides. NCBI's taxonomy places the organism in Eukaryota, Metazoa, Arthropoda, Insecta, Coleoptera, Scarabaeidae. The record is from RefSeq and is a predicted model, not a curated record.
AUCUGGAUGAUCUGGAUGCCAUUCGGUUUCCAUUUUCCAUUCAAAGAAAAGUUGAUCUCGAAGAAGCUUCUUUUGUGGUGUUAACGGUUUUUUUCAUAAACAGCGCUGUAGAAAUCAACAAUCGUCGAUGUUGCGACAAUUUUGCCGCUUGAAAUAAUGUUAGCAGAGACGUUUUCAGCACGUGAUCUGUACUGCAAUUUUAUUUCAACCAUUGACGACACAAUUCGUUUUUUGGCAACACAAUUCGUUUUUUGGCAACACGGCGACUUUUAUCAAAUUCGAAAGAAUGUGAUAAUUGCCACAUUACUAUGUCGCUGACAAGGAGAGCAUGCAUCAGCGAUGGAAAGCAGUGGACCUGCAAGGAAUGCAGAAAAAACGUGUCAAUACGAGCCGGCUCAUUCUUUCAGAAUAGCAAGCUGAAAUUGACACAAAUUUUGGACAUUGUAUAUGGAUGGGCGAGGGAGCACCCGCAGUAUGAGGCGGCGCGUGACGCCAAAUUGGGAGAAAGAUCCACCCACACCAUAGUGGAUUGGUACAACUUUUGUCGGGACAUAACUGAACAGCACCUUGUCGACAAUCCUACCCAAGUAGGAGGAUUCGAUGAGAACACGCUGUUGUCCAAAACGGUGGAAAUUGAUGAAUCGAAAUUUUUCCAUCGUAAAUACCACCGUGGACAAUGGCGUGAAGGCCACUGGGUUUUUGGGGGUAUUGAACGGGGUAGUGGCAACUGCUUUCUGGUGGAGGUGCCAGAUAGAACGGAGAAUACCCUAACCCCAAUUAUUGAAAGAUAUGUGCUCCCAGGUACAAUUAUUAUUUCCGACGGGUGGAGGGCGUACAGAAAUAUUAACCAAAUAGGAGGUGGUAUUUAUGAACAUGAGGUAAUAACUCAUGAAGAAAAUUUCGUGAAUCCUGACGAUCCCACUAUUCACACGCAGAAUGUUGAAAAUAUGUGGAUGAGGGCGAAGAGGAAACUGAAGCGCCAAUGUGGUACAUCAGAAGCCCUCUUUACCUCUUACCUACAUGAAUUUAUUUGGCGCAAUAAAUUCAAGAGUCGGGAUAUUUUUUCAGCGUUGCUCGUGUGUGUUAGGGAGCAGUACCCAGUAUGAUAAACUAUAGUAAAAAGACUAGUGCAUAGUGGAAUGCAGAUAUAUUCAACACGAAAAAACAUUUUCUUUAAUUUUUAAACAAUAAAAAACAAAUGUUUUGCAGUGGCAACUCGUCAGAGGAGGUAUUUAUCAUUUUGAAGUACUCUUUCUUAACUUUAAUUUAUAGUUAUAUACUUUAUAGUUAUAGUACGUGAAAAUUUUUUUUUAAUAUUUAAUUUAUCCUCCGCUUUUGAAAGCCCCGCGAGCCGCCGCUGAUUUAAAAGUUAAAAUUUAAGAAAAACAUAUAUUUUUCAAUUCCGCUUCAUAAUUAUGCCAUCUAGUGGCCACAAGCUCAACUAAUGGUAGAGCGAUGUCUAUUUUGUGCGGACACACACACACACAGACACAACCGCUGAGUUCCCCACCCCAUGUCAGUUUCAUUUCAUCACCCUAUAAUGCAGGAUAACCUAGAAAUGUCCAAAUAUUGCACAUGUCUCUUGUAACGUUUACCUCAAAACUUCCGUCAAUUGUCAUCGAAUAAAAACAAAAAACAUACAAAUUUUCAAUUCUGCAUUGCGAAGAUGAUUAUGAACUAGAUAUAUAUGGAUUAGGGGCAGUCAUUUCUCCAAUAAGAUGGCGCGACACCACCACCUUCCUGUUCGAGUUUAUUUAAACCAAUUAUUUCCCAAUGGAUGAAUUGGCAGAAGAAGCCCAGUUGACUGGACAGCAAUAUCAUCAAAUUUGACUCUGCCGGAAUUCUUCCUUUAAGUUUACACAACUGGACCAAAUACUUGUGAUAAACAAAAAAUCAGAAUCUGAGAAGAAGUUUAGUGAAUAAUUCUUGAUGCCUUAGGGAAUUGUUAAGAAGAUAUUAAAAAUCGUUUAGGAGCUGCCCAAGGUGAUCGGAUUUACCGAUUUGUGUCAGUUGUUCACCAGUUAACUGUGCACUGAAAUUACAAACACCUUUAAGAAAUUUAUUUUGAACAGCAAUGUAGUGACACCGACUAUGGUUUUCAUAUAGUCUAACUUUUGAAGACAAUUUCUCAGUUUAACAGCUUGUGGACGAAUUGCAUGGAUUUAAGAUGGUCAAUCAUUGUGCAAAUAAAAUGGGGCCAUUACACUGAUAGUAAAUACAGUCAUAAUUAGUGUACCCGACGUCAUCAUUGCAAGUGUGCAACCAAUAUCACAGCAUUGGUGUUGCAAUACGCGAUUUGCGCAUUUGGUUGCAUACUUCCAAUAAUAACGUCGGGUAUGAUGAAUUAACACGGUGUAUUUUGUCUGAUAUUCAAUGGAACUUCCUUCAGUGGGUCUAUCAAAUUAAUCACGAAAUAGGAAAAUUGAUGCUGAACGUGACUUUCCACUGUUACAUGUGGGUUAUUAUCAGACCAACAUAUAUUUGUAUAUUAUUUCCACAAUAUGCUGCUGAGAUAUCUUAAAGAUUUCAUAUUUGUGAUAUGUAGUUAAGAACCAGUCUUUUAUGGCUGUGCUAUGGAUAGUAGACAAGUGUUCUACAAAGAGUAAUUGCCACAUAGCUUCAGAAUAAUUCUUUGUGGAAUGCAUGUGUACGUGCAACCUGUACAUUUUGGGAUCUGUUUUUUGAUAAUUUGUUUUGUUAAAGUAUCCAUAAUGUAACUCUUGCUUAUAAGUCUAUGGAGAGUUGCCGUAUGAGGGGAGGAAGCUCUAGGGACGGGCCAGGCUCGGUCAUGUGACCAUUUUCACUCAUUUUUAAGCGUCUCAUCUAUGCACGGAUGCACCACCUACUGUUUUUAAUGAAACAACUUUUAUUGCGGACUUCGGAUAUAACGGACAAAUUUAUUACAGACAA